Molecule: long non-coding RNA, 4512 nt
Organism: Alligator mississippiensis (American alligator)
Lineage: Eukaryota; Metazoa; Chordata; Crocodylia; Alligatoridae
Exons: 3
Source: RefSeq, a predicted model, not a curated record
CUGUCGGCCUCUUGCCUUUGAGCCCCCCCUUUCCUUAUAGUAUUUACUAGAGAUAGAUAUUAAGUGUAUGUGCGUCUGUUUGUCUGUUUGUCUGUUUAUCUAUCUAUCUAUCUAUCUAUCUAUCUAUCUAUCUUUAGGGUGUGUGUGUAUACACAUGCGCACACACAUAUAUUGGUAUUAAGAAUAAUGUGGAGGUGAUGAUCCAGGAAUUAUGUGAGAGGAAAGGAUGCCCAAUAAUGACUUUAAAAACUUGUCUCAACUUUAUCCCAAUUAUAUAUAUAUAUGUGUGUGUGUGUGUGUGUGUGUGUACACGUAUAUAGUAUAAUCAGUGAUUUUCAACCAGAUGCCAUGGCACUGAAGAUAUACAUGGUGUGUGUAUGUGUGUGUGUGUGUAUAUAUAUAUAUAUAUAUGUAUGUGUAUGUGUAUAUACAUGUAUAAAAGCAGCUGCAUUGUUGGGAUGGGCUUACACAAGCUUGUUUAAUGCAAAAUAUUGUUUAAGCUAACCCUUGCCUUGCAUAAGUCCUGGGUCAUCACAGCUGCAACAUCUUAAAACAAAUACACACACACAUUGGUGUUAAGAAUAAUGUGGAGGUGAUGAUCCAGGAAUUAUGUGAGAGGCAUGGAUUUGCCCAAUGCCUUGCCUUUAAAAACUUGUCUUAACUUUAUCCCAAUUAUAUAUAUGUGCAUGUGUGUUUGUGUUUGUGUAUACUAUACAUAUAUAGUAUAAUUAAUGAUUUUCAACCAGAUGCCAUGACACCCUGGGGUGCCUUGAGAUUCUUUCCAGGGUGUCAUGGAGUGCCAUGCCAUGUUAGCACUGGUAAGUGUGCAAACAUGAUUCACAAGAUAACCAGAGAUUUCAAAGAAGAAAUUCAGUGUUAAAAACUUUCUGACAUGCUGUGGUCUUUCUGAGUUCUUUGCAACAGAAGACUUGCUCUGUUAUUUUUCUGUAGUCCAAAAAUGAGUGAAAGCUACAAGCCUGCAUAUUCUGAGGAGUACCUUGAAUCUUAACAAAUUGAAAGGUCACUGAUAGAUGUACACAUACUGAGAGAGGGAAAUAGAUGUACAUGUACUGAGAAAACUAGUGGCAAGCUCUCACUUAUUCCUGGUGUAGCCUUAUUUGGGGGUGGUAGAAAGUUUUGUUCCUCCAAUGAGAUGAGUUUUUUGGGUAAAAGUGUCAUUGCUUGAGGUCUGAUACAAAUGUUAAUUUGCAUAGACUGGCAUAUCAUGACUGCUACCAGUAGUUUUAUGAACUGAUAUUAUGAGCCUUGUUUGUGUGGUGUCUGUUUGUACCCCCAGGUAUCUUGAAUGGAAAAAUAAACCUGUUAACUGUAGUAAGAGCUUGGGGGAAAACUGUAUAAAGUAUUAGGCAACUGGAAUGCAUAUUGUCCAGAAAAAAAUAAUCUGUUUCACAGCUCUCUGCUGAUGAGGACCAAAUAAAAAAUGGAUUGCGAACUUUCCAGUAUGGAUGGGGAAGACUUCCAUUUCCUUGUUCCGAUACAUAUUUUACAGGACACAUUCUCCAUGUCAAAGUUUUCAUGUGGUUUGAGGAGGAGCAGAAGUAUAGCGGAGCUUUCCUGCCACUGGGUGAAUUGGAAACGUAGAGGCAAAGAAAAAGUUUUCCUUCUGCAUAUGUGACAUCCCCUUUCCCUAUAAGGAAAUGAGGGGCAGUACUAGACUCUCGAUUAUAGGACUCCCUUCACUUUGAAUGACUUUACGUAGAGUUGCCAAGGGUAUGAGUUGCAAGGGUGGAAAAGUAAACCAAGAGAGACAUUUUUUAGAUUUUGGAAUCUUUUUUUUUCCUUGACCCCAAACUUUUCAGCAACCUGAAGGAAUGUUCCAGGACAGAUGAGGAAGCACAGAUAUACAGGACUCCCAGGAACCUUGAUAUCUAACUUGGUGAGGAAGGACUGAAUUGUUUCCAGCUACAGAUCUUUCAAGGCUCCAUCAAAAAAAAAAGAAAACCUAUGCAGCAGUUGUAGUAGUCAGGACUGGGCUUCUAGGUACGACCCCUUGCAGUGGAAGUACAGGCAACAUGGACAAAAAUAUUCCAGUAGGGAUUUUGCUUUUGAGUUCCUUCUGUUAAAAUAUUUAAUAUUCUCUCUCGUAGCAUUGAAAGGUGUGAUCCUGACAGGCUCUAAAAGAUGUUAUAUCAACUUUUAUUUUAACUAUGAAGCAAGAUUUUUUCUGAGAAUAAUUUGGAAUUACAAAGGGCUUAGAGACUGGGGUAAUAUAUGGGUGAAUCAAGAAAUAGAGGCUAUUUCCUUAUUUCAAACUUCUAUUAAGCUUAUGACUUUUUCUUCAAUUAAAAUAUACGGUAAAUUAAUAUUAUGCUUAUUUGUAUUAUACUAACAUAUUACAGCCUUCAGUUAAAGUUUGUAAUAUAUUUAGGUUUUUAAAUGCAUAUUUUAAAAACAACCUUGAACUUUUAAAAUAUAAAUACUUAAAUACAGCAUCUCCUCAAUAUAUUUUAUUUAAGCUCUGAACGGCCUAGUGGCCAAGCUAUGAUUUGACAGAGCCUUUAGUUCUGGCUGUGGCCUGAGGAAAUGCCUGUGCCAUGAAUCUCAUGAGCUCAAGAUUGGGGACGGCAGGGACUUCAUACAAUUCAAAAUGUGUGGGGGAGAGGAAAUUAUUAUGUUGAUAGGCAAUAUCCAGCUAGAGGCAUGAUACAAUAGGGGAAGAUCCCAGUUCCCAGUUCAUUCCCAAUUGCAUAAGAAUUCUUCAUCCUUCUCUAAGUCAGAAGAUUCUCAUCAGUCCUGGAAGGAUUAAUGAAGACCCUAUUUUGAGUGGCAGGGCAAGGUUGGGACUGGAGGUGGUUUGGGCAAAAUGAACCAUAGGGAGUUAGGAUUAGGACAUGAGCAUUAGUCAUGUUGGACUGUCAGAUCAGGAACAGAGGAAAACGAGAAGCAAAGAGAAAGAUUGGGAAGGAACUUCUACAGGCACAACUAAUAAUGCAGGAAUCUUUGGGUACUAGGGAUGAACAGACAUCUUUAUCCUUAGCUUUAGGAAGAUACUCUUUCAAAAGAUUUUCAAGAUGUAGGAUUUAGCUUGAACAGGAAUUGAAAUAAAACUAAAAAGAUAUCACCAAUGCAGAUAUAAUACAACAGGAUAUGACCAGCAUAUGCAUAAUAGUACAAUAGGGGUGUAAUCAGCAUAUGCAUUAUACAAUAUGUGCAUGACCAGAGUCAAUAUAAAAAGCAAAUUAGUAAUACAUAUUAUUUGAAAAAAAAAUUCUAAACCUUUAAAUGGGACAUCUGGUAACACACAAGACAUAUAAGAAACUUUAAAUGGGCAAAACAACACUUUUCAUGAUCAGAAAACAAAUACUAUAUAAGAUGAAAAAAACUGCUUUACCUUGUGUAUUUCUAACCCUUUUAAUCAGUUUUCUCAAAAUAGUCUAGAAAAAGUUCACUUUUAUUUUGACAUGAACUAUUAGAAAUGCCACAAAAAAACCAAGCAAACAAAAUAAAAGACACACAAGGAUAUGAAAACAGAACCUUGCAAUUGAUUGUCUUUACUAUGUUGACUAACUUUUAUAUAUAUUAAUGCAUUUUAAUUGAACAAAGUUGAGAAGUAUCCAAGAUUCUUUAAUAUGACCUUCACAGAUAUCCAUCCAGUUUGCUUUGGGGGAGAAGGAAGGUGAAAUAAUAACCUCAGAUCUGGGAUUCAUCUGUCAUGAAGUAAGGAAGUGUGGUUUGAAAUGUUAAUUCUCAAUUCCCAUACAAGCAGAUUGAUAGAUGAGGCAUAAAAUGGUUCCAGAUGCUGUGGUUUCCAAACUAUUCAGCUGUGCUCACUUUUCCUAUCUCUAUAACCUGGAGCAAUAUUACUGUAAGUAGGCCACCUGUGUUCUGAGAUUUACCUGAGUCUUAAAACAUGUCCUUCAUGUAUGGGAAAACUGGGUUGAAGUUUAAUUUAUUUUCUAACAAAUCAAGGUUUCUAGCUGAUUAAAAAGCAAACAACCUGAUUAGGGAUAAACAAAAAUAUCUAUGGAAUAUUUGUUUUGGAAGAUACUUUGGUUUAUAACUGAAAACAAUUAUAACAGGCUGAAUAACCUCUACUCUUUCACCUCACAGAUGCUGCCUGCAAUCUUUUCAGUAUACUUUAAAUAAAGGAAAAGAUUGCCCUCCAACGAAAACACAGCACAGUGAGCCAGGAGAUAUUGGCUGUUUUCCUGGUUCCGCUACUGGUUUCUGCUGCAAUAUUAGGCAGAUGAUGAGAGAAUCUCUGCUUCACAACUCUUGAGCUUGGUGAAUUGUAUCUCCCCUUAUGCUGGAAGCUUCAGAACAGAAGAAGAAAUUUUGAUACGGUAUUUUUCAAGAAAAGCAGAGAGGCAAUUUUCCAAAACAAGUGAAGAACAUUUGGCUUCAGAGGGAAAGCAGAAGACAGAGACAUUUAUCAGGAUAGUGUUCCCUUGUUACCAUUCGAUGACAUCAGCAGACAUUUAUGACUGAGAAAAUCUCUCAUUGCCCCCACUAACCUGAAAGAGGAAUAAAAACUCCAUUUCAAAUCUUUCA